UUUGCAUCUGACCUCAAAUCAGGUAGGACUACCCGC
RNAcentral lists this ribosomal RNA (36 nucleotides) under Physalacria lacrymispora. RNAcentral's name for it is "partial 28S large subunit ribosomal RNA". The record is from RNAcentral. Lineage: Eukaryota; Fungi; Basidiomycota; Agaricomycetes; Agaricales; Physalacriaceae.